This 255-nucleotide ribosomal RNA is filed under the name uncultured bacterium. RNAcentral's name for it is "partial 16S ribosomal RNA". It matches the Rfam family "Bacterial small subunit ribosomal RNA", at positions 524 to 777 of the family's 1533-position model. The record is from RNAcentral.
UACGUAGGGUGCAAGCGUUAAUCGGAAUUACUGGGCGUAAAGCGUGCGCAGGCGGUUUUGUAAGACCGAUGUGAAAUCCCCGGGCUUAACCUGGGAACUGCAUUGGUGACUGCAAGGCUUGAGUGUGUCAGAGGGAGGUGGAAUUCCGCGUGUAGCAGUGAAAUGCGUAGAUAUGCGGAGGAACACCGAUGGCGAAGGCAGCCCUCCUGGGAUAACACUGACGCUCAUGCACGAAAGCGUGGGGAGCAAACGAGG